UGAGGCAGGAGAAUUGCUUGAACCCAGGAGGUGGAGGUUGCAGUGAGCCGAGAUCGUGCCACUGCACUCCAGCCUGGGCGACAGAGCUAGAAUCCGUCU
This 99-nucleotide microRNA precursor is filed under the name Gorilla gorilla gorilla (western lowland gorilla). RNAcentral's name for it is "miRNA (ENSGGOG00000037381.1)". The record is from RNAcentral. Lineage: Eukaryota; Metazoa; Chordata; Mammalia; Primates; Hominidae.